This 262-nucleotide unclassified non-coding RNA is filed under the name plant metagenome. RNAcentral describes it as "partial contains small subunit ribosomal RNA, internal transcribed spacer 1, and 5.8S ribosomal RNA". The record is from RNAcentral.
UUUCCGUAGGUGAACCUGCGGAAGGAUCAUUAUUGCAUAACCGAGGUGCGAGGGCUGUCGCUGACCCGAAAGGUCGUGCACGCCCGAGUGCCCUCACACACAUCCAUCUCACCCCUAUGUGCACCACCGCGUGGGACCCCCUUGGCUUGUUCGGAGGGGGGCUUACGUUUUCACACAAACUUUGUAUGCAGUGUAGAAUGUAUUUUUUGUUUUUGCGAUCACGCAAUCAAUACAACUUUCAACAACGGAUCUCUUGGCUCUC